Molecule: unclassified non-coding RNA, 186 nt
Filed under: plant metagenome
Description: partial contains small subunit ribosomal RNA and internal transcribed spacer 1
Rfam family: Eukaryotic small subunit ribosomal RNA (bases 1-46)
Source: RNAcentral
AAGUCGUAACAAGGUUUCCGUAGGUGAACCUGCGGAAGGAUCAUUACCGUGGGGCUUCGGCCCCAUUGAGAUAGCACCCUUUGUUUAUGAGUACCCUUGUUUCCUCGGCGGGCUUGCUCGCCGGAUGGACAAUACUAUAACCUUUUUAAUAUUCAAUCAGCGUCUGAAAAACUUGAAUAAUUACAA